Non-coding RNA from Vicugna pacos (alpaca), 893 nucleotides. Lineage: Eukaryota; Metazoa; Chordata; Mammalia; Artiodactyla; Camelidae. The record is from RefSeq and is a predicted model, not a curated record.
CAGACAUACUCCUAUGUAUGUUCUCUUUUAAGGAUUUAUAGUUUUACCUCAUAUAUUUAGUUCUGUGGAUUCAUUUUGAGGUGGUUUUUUUUAAAUAUUGUGUGAGGUGAGGGUCCAAAUUCAUCCAUUUGAAGGUAGAUAUCUUGCUGUUCAAAAAACUAUUCCUUCCCCAACUAAAUUGUCUUGACACCUUUGUUAAGAAUCAGUUGCUCAUAAGUGUUAUUCUGUCCCAUUGAUCUUUUAUACCCCUCCUUAUGACACUGCUACACAGCUUUGAUUUCUGUGUUGUUAUAUUAAGUUUUGAAAUUCACAGGUGUGAGCCCUCCAACUUUGUUCUUUUUCAUGACUGUUUUUGGUCAUUGGGGUUUUUUGUUUCCAUAUAAAUUUUAAAAUUAGUUCUUGAAUUUCUACAAAAAAGUCAGGUGGGACUUUUAGUUGAAAAUUUAUUGACUCAUUUACCCAAUUUGGGGAAUACUGCCAUCUUAACUAUAAGUUUUUUGAUCCACGAACAUGAAAUGCCUUCCAUUUAUGUAUACCUUUAAUCAUUCUCAACACAUUCUUAGUUUUAAGUAUAAAUAUAAUACUUUUAUUAAGCCCAUCCCUAUGUAUGUUUGCUACUUAUAUGGAUGCGAUUUUUACAAUGUUUUUAUUAUUACUGGUGUAGCAAAUGAUUUUUGUAUAUUGAUCUUGGAUCUUGUAUCCUUGCUGAAUGUAUUCAUUAGUUCUAGUAGAUUUUUAGGGAAACUUUUAGGGUUUUCUAUAUAUAGUGUCACAUCAUCUGUAUAUAGUGACAACUUUACCUCUUGUCUUCCAAUUUGGAUCCCUUUUAUUUGUUUUUGUUGCCUGAUUGCUGUGGCUAGGACUUCAAGACUAUGUUGAAUAGAAUUGCUGUG